Molecule: transfer RNA, 358 nt
Filed under: uncultured Microcystis sp.
Lineage: Bacteria; Bacillati; Cyanobacteriota; Cyanophyceae; Chroococcales; Microcystaceae
Description: partial 16S-23S ribosomal RNA intergenic spacer
Rfam family: tRNA (bases 135-208)
Source: RNAcentral
AAGGGAGACCUAAUUCCGGUAGGAGACGAAAAAAAAGUAGUCCCUACCAAGAAUCAAUCCCAAAAGGUCGAGGCGAGGCAAGAUUGGCUUUCAAACUAGGUUCUGGGUUCAAACAAGACCUGAAUCAGGAACAAGGGCUAUUAGCUCAGGUGGUUAGAGCGCACCCCUGAUAAGGGUGAGGUCCCUGGUUCGAGUCCAGGAUGGCCCACCUGCACAGGUGGCAAAAACAAAGAAGCGAGGAAUCAGCACCUUAUCUUACUCAUAUAGUAAGAGAGAAUGCUGGCUCUGAGUAAAGAGUCCAGAGGAACCUUGAAAACUGCAUAGAGCUAGGUGAAAAAGCCAAAAAAGAAGACCGCAA